GAAAAUUGGACUUGAUCAUAACCCAGCGGCGCUGGGUUGUGAACGCGGACGUGAAGGAGAGCACGCACGUCACGUUAAAAUCGUACGUCUCCAGUGCAAGAAGCCGCCAUUUUCUCAGCGUGAAAGAAGCGAGAAGCGAGUGAAAGACAUUACGACUUGUUAAGCUCGUGUCUUCAUUGUCCCCGCACUGAGAGUUAAAGACACCUGCUCUUGUGAGGAGUCACGGACUGUGUGAGGAGGAGGCGUGUUCUCAGCUUCUUCUGAAGAGAGGGACAGACGGGUUUAAGAACUCAAACCAACUUUGGAGUUGUCUGAUUUGGAGAGUCAUCAUUCUUGGUCUUCCCUCUUAAGGGAAUAGUUCACACAAAAAAUCAUUUAGUUGCCCUCAUGUCAUUCCAAACCUAUACGACUU
Cyprinus carpio carpio is the source of this 412-nucleotide long non-coding RNA. The record is from Ensembl. Lineage: Eukaryota; Metazoa; Chordata; Actinopteri; Cypriniformes; Cyprinidae.